GAUGAACGCUGGCGGCGUGCCUAAUACAUGCAAGUCGAGCGAACGGACGAGAAGCUUGCUUCUCUGAUGUUAGCGGCGGACGGGUGAGUAACACGUGGAUAACCUACCUAUAAGACUGGGAUAACUUCGGGAAACCGGAGCUAAUACCGGAUAAUAUUUUGAACCGCAUGGUUCAAAAGUGAAAGACGGUCUUGCUGUCACUUAUAGAUGGAUCCGCGCUGCAUUAGCUAGUUGGUAAGGUAACGGCUUGCCAAGGCAACGAUGCAUAGCCGACCUGAGAGGGUGAUCGGCCACACUGGAACUGAGACACGGUCCAGACUCCUACGGGAGGCAGCAGUAGGGAAUCUUCCGCAAUGGGCGAAAGCCUGACGGAGCAACGCCGCGUGAGUGAUGAAGGUCUUCGGAUCGUAAAACUCUGUUAUUAGGGAAGAACAUAUGUGUAAGUAACUGUGCACAUCUUGACGGUACCUAAUCAGAAAGCCACGGCUAACUACGUGCCAGCAGCCGCGGUAAUACGUAGGUGGCAAGCGUUAUCCGGAAUUAUUGGGCGUAAAGCGCGCGUAGGCGGUUUUUUAAGUCUGAUGUGAAAGCCCACGGCUCAACCGUGGAGGGUCAUUGGAAACUGGAAAACUUGAGUGCAGAAGAGGAAAGUGGAAUUCCAUGUGUAGCGGUGAAAUGCGCAGAGAUAUGGAGGAACACCAGUGGCGAAGGCGACUUUCUGGUCUGUAACUGACGCUGAUGUGCGAAAGCGUGGGGAUCAAACAGGAUUAGAUACCCUGGUAGUCCACGCCGUAAACGAUGAGUGCUAAGUGUUAGGGGGUUUCCGCCCCUUAGUGCUGCAGCUAACGCAUUAAGCACUCCGCCUGGGGAGUACGACCGCAAGGUUGAAACUCAAAGGAAUUGACGGGGACCCGCACAAGCGGUGGAGCAUGUGGUUUAAUUCGAAGCAACGCGAAGAACCUUACCAAAUCUUGACAUCCUUUGACAACUCUAGAGAUAGAGCCUUCCCCUUCGGGGGACAAAGUGACAGGUGGUGCAUGGUUGUCGUCAGCUCGUGUCGUGAGAUGUUGGGUUAAGUCCCGCAACGAGCGCAACCCUUAAGCUUAGUUGCCAUCAUUAAGUUGGGCACUCUAAGUUGACUGCCGGUGACAAACCGGAGGAAGGUGGGGAUGACGUCAAAUCAUCAUGCCCCUUAUGAUUUGGGCUACACACGUGCUACAAUGGACAAUACAAAGGGCAGCGAAACCGCGAGGUCAAGCAAAUCCCAUAAAGUUGUUCUCAGUUCGGAUUGUAGUCUGCAACUCGACUACAUGAAGCUGGAAUCGCUAGUAAUCGUAGAUCAGCAUGCUACGGUGAAUACGUUCCUGGGUCU
RNAcentral lists this ribosomal RNA (1372 nucleotides) under uncultured bacterium. RNAcentral's name for it is "bacterial SSU rRNA". It matches the Rfam family "Bacterial small subunit ribosomal RNA", at positions 28 to 1381 of the family's 1533-position model. The record is from RNAcentral.